CAGUGUUUAUGGGGGCCCACAAGCUGAAAUGUUGCAAGAAUAAACAGUUAAAAGCUCUCACAGAUUGUAAGGAUAACAUAAAACGGUAUUUGGUAGAAGAUUAAACAAGUUUUAAUUCAAUUUAAAGAAGAGGUUUGAUGUGAUAAAACACCUGCAGGAAGUUUAUUUACUUAAAAAAACAAUACUUCUACAUUGUGUUGUUAUCGUUGUUAUUCUACAAUUGCUCUUAUUCAGCGGAAUGUGACUGAUAACCUGACAAACCAGUUUUUGUUUAUAUUUGGUGUGAUAUAUUUCAAUUGAGAAGGAAAUAUUCAAUUGUGAUGGCAGGAGCUUAUCAAGCAGGGCAGACAGAAAUAAUUAGUGGAAAAAUAUUUUUUAUAGAAAGUGAUGGAUUACAUGAUAACCAUUGAUUGACAACUGGUUAUCUAUAUAUCAGAAGAAGUAGAAUUUAAAUACCUUUCUAAUGAUACCAUACAACAUCUUCUAAACAGUAAUCACGUCAUAAACUUAAUGACAAACUUCAUUUUCCACUUCAUUUUCUGUUCAUGCUUGGUUCGUUAAUCUGGAAUUAAAAUGAAUGUCGCCGUCUAUAAAUAUGGGCAUAAAAUAUUCACAAUGGGGAAAGAAACAAGUGUUGGGCACGUCAUAGUAUCAACAUAUUGUCGUAUGAUUCUGCGAUUAUCCCCCCUCGGACGCGAACAUCACCCUUAAGCCAACGCAAACGCCUACGACUUUGACCGACUUUACAAGAGUUAUUUAUACGAAUUCAGUCUUGAUAUAAUUACAAUAUUAUUAAUAA
Molecule: long non-coding RNA, 799 nt
Organism: Dalotia coriaria
Lineage: Eukaryota; Metazoa; Arthropoda; Insecta; Coleoptera; Staphylinidae
Exons: 4
Source: RefSeq, a predicted model, not a curated record